Molecule: long non-coding RNA, 365 nt
Filed under: Brassica rapa (field mustard)
Lineage: Eukaryota; Viridiplantae; Streptophyta; Magnoliopsida; Brassicales; Brassicaceae
Description: long non-coding RNA (BRAP_LNC000655)
Source: RNAcentral
UUAAACCACUUGUACAAAACUUAAAGCCAAACAGGUUUUAUAAGAUAAUUCAGAAAAUAUAAAUAGUUCAGAAUUUUUUUUUUUAAGUAGCAACUUCUGCCUCCUCACGAUCAUUAACAUCAAUGUCCACCUAAUUAAUAGCCAAUGAUACACUCACACCAUAGUUGCGGUCAUGUUAAAAUCGGCAGACUUCAGUUUUUUCAUACUACAGAAGAACCGUGAUAGAAUUUUAUACGUACAUAGGCAACAAAAUCAAGGAUUGGCAGACAGUCUGUGAAAUUGUAUUUGGCUAUCCUGACCUGGAAGUCUUCUCAACCAUGCACACAAUAAAAGGGGUAGCUGAGUCUCCUCUGGAUUCUCUCCCU